Molecule: non-coding RNA, 456 nt
Organism: Camellia sinensis
Lineage: Eukaryota; Viridiplantae; Streptophyta; Magnoliopsida; Ericales; Theaceae
Source: RefSeq, a predicted model, not a curated record
UUUGCAUUUGCAUAACAAGUUCCUCAUGUUAAAUAGUUUAUCCAGUAUGCUUGAAUCUUUAUUCACUAAUUCAGUUCUCUCGGGAUUUUUUCUACAUUAGCAGAACAACUACUCUGCACCUCAUGUUCCGCAAAAUGUUAAUGCAUGUCCAACACUAUUUGUGGCAAAUUUGGGGCCAACUUGUUCAGAGCAAGAGCUAAUUCAAGUCUUUUCAAGUUGCCAUGGAUUUAUAAAAUUGAAGAUGCAAAGCACAUAUGGAACUCCGGUGGCAUUUGUUGAUUUUCAGAUACUUUGUUACUGUCAUUGAAAAGCUAAAACAAGAACUCAUGAUGGGUCCAUGUUUGUAUGUCUUUCAUUAGUUAAUAUAAUUUUUGUUGUGGUACAGAAGUUGUAGGUGUACAAUUAAUUUGGUUAUUCAUGUAUUAUGUAUGGAAUUAAAAUAUUGACGUUGGAUUA